Tripterygium wilfordii is the source of this 2508-nucleotide RNA transcript. It is a transcript of the gene named sucrose nonfermenting 4-like protein, with no coding region annotated. The record is from RefSeq and is a predicted model, not a curated record. Lineage: Eukaryota; Viridiplantae; Streptophyta; Magnoliopsida; Celastrales; Celastraceae. The transcript is spliced from 13 exons.
UUAUUGUUUUCAACAUUUCCUUCAAAGCUUUGAGAAAAAUAUUUGAUUCGAUUCGUAUCGCAUUCAUCGUUUCGAUCUUCACAAAUUCAUAUUUUUUCUUAUAAUCCUCUUAGUUGAUAUUAGGGUUUCCAGUUGUCUGCCCUGAACUCAUUCUCUAUCGCUUCCUCUGACAUUGUUUUCGAGGUUAGGGUUUUCAUGUCCGUACGGUUCUAGAUAUAGCAGUCAUAUUGGUGUAUAAGUUUAGGAGCUGCCCUAACUAGUUUCUGAACAGUGGUGAUUGAUUUUUUUGUUGUUCUAAUUUUUUUUGUUGAUUUUUAUUUUUUGAUUUUUAGCUGGUGAGUUACAUGAUGUUUUAAUGAGAAGUAAGGUCUGUGAAGUUAUUUCACCUUGAAUUGAGAUAUUGAAAUUGAUAUUUUUUUUUGGAUCCAAUCCAAGAAGUUUUAUUAUUAUUAUUUUUAUUUUUUGAAAACCUUGUUGGGUUGAUUUAUAGGCUUGAGCUUUUGUGUACUGUAUAAUGAUAAGGAGGUGACAGUGUAGAAAGGUCGUUGCUUGGAGGGUAUUUCUGGAUAUGUUUUUUGAUCUGGGGUCUGCAAGUUUGCAUCAGGUAUGGAUUCUGCACGGGAAGCUGGUGGUGGGGUAGCAGGCCCAGUGCUAAUGCGAUUUGUGUGGCCUUAUGGGGGAAAGAAUGUAUUUCUCAGUGGUUCUUUCAAUAGGUGGUCCGAGAUUGUCCCAAUGUCUCCUGUGGAAGGUUGCCCUGCUGUAUUUCAGGCCAUUUGCAGCGUUACUCCUGGUUACCACCAGUUCAAAUUCCAUGUUGAUGGGGAGUGGCGACAUGAUGAGCGCCAAUCUUGCAUGAUUAGCGAAUAUGGAAUGGCAAACACUGUCCUUGUUGCUGUGGAUCCUAAUUACAGUCCCACAAUAACCUCAGAGAUGCCUACUGGAUCAAAUAUGGAUUGGGAUAAUGAGGAUUUCCGGCGCAUGGUCCGUAUGUCAGAUGGUAUGUUAACUGGGGCAGUGCCAAGUAUAUCAGUGUCUGAGUUACAGGUCUCCCGUCACCGAGUAUCUGUGUUUUUGUCUACACAUACCGUAUAUGAGUUACUACCUGAGUCAGGCAAGGUCAUUGUGUUGGACAUCAAUUUACCUGUAAAGCAAGCGUUUCAUACUUUGCAUGAGCAGGGUGUUUCUAUGGCUCCUCUGUGGGAUGAGGGCACUGGCCAAUUUGUUGGAGUUCUCAGUGCAUCAGAUUUUAUAUUAAUUUUAAGAGAGCUUGAGACUCAUGGGUCAAAUUUGACUGAGGAAGAACUUGAUACACACACCAUAUCUGCUUGGAAAGAGGGAAAAGCGUAUUUGAAUAGGCAAAUUGAUGGGCAUGGCAGACCGUUUUCAAGACAUCUUAUUCAUGCUGGGCCAUAUGACAAUUUGAAAGAUGUUGCUUUGAAAAUAUUGCAAAAUGAGGUGGCUACUGUCCCCAUCAUCAAUUCUUCUUCAGAAGAUGGUUCACUUCCCCAGCUACUACAUCUCGCUUCACUACCUGGCAUAUUAAAAUGUAUUUGCAGGUACUUUAGAAACUGUACUGGCACUCUGCCUGUAAUUCAAUUGCCGAUUUGUGCGAUUCCUGUGGGUACAUGGGUUCCAAGAAUCGGAGAAUCUCAUAGACGGCCAUUAGCUACGUUGAAACCUAGCGCUUCUCUUAGUUCAGCUUUAAAUUUGUUAAUUCAAGCUCAAGUAAGCUCUAUACCUAUAGUUGAUGAAAAUGACUCCUUGUUGGAUAUAUAUUGUCGAACUGAUAUAACAGCUUUGGCGAAAGAUAAAGUUUACACACAUAUUAAUCUUAAUGAAAUGACUAUUCAUCAGGAAAAAGAUGGAGAUCUCAUUUGAAGGGUAUGGUGUGGAGGAGUUCAGUGCUUUGGAAGUUUGUAGGGAAAGGUGUUAAGAGAGACUUAAAAAGGAAAUAUAUGGUGGGUAGGAGGUGUGCUGGAUUUCGCCUGCAUGAGUCUGUCAAUGAACUGAUGAGAGAAGUGUGUUUUCUAGUAGGCUUGCGAGACUAGUAUCAUUUGGUGAAAUGAUAGAGUAGUUCUAGUUAGAAAAACAGGGGUUCUGAUGGCUUAACAAUUGGCGAUAACAAGAUUGUUUUUGUUUUUCGUUUUUCGUUUGACUUUCCUUAGAGGAUGUUUGGUGGGUGGGGGGCUGUGCAUAAGGUGUUUCAGACCCCUGCUCUGAGGACAAGAUGGUGAGGAGCCAAUCACUGAAGCAGUGGUGGUCCUCAUGGUGUACUAAUUGUGCCAAAAGGUUGAAGAAGUGUACAAAUUUAUUGGCAAAAUUUGAAUUUGAUAAAUUCAUACUUGAUGGCCUAAAUGGUGCAAGCUCAACAUUUAAAGUGCACGCACUUGGUGGCACUUCAACUGGGACAAGAUUCACAUACUCUUUACGAACUGAGAAACCAAAGGUGUCAAAUGUGCUUGCGCUCUGAUUCGCUUCAUAAAGUGAUGGAGCGAUUGGCGAGUCCAG